This 248-nucleotide small RNA is filed under the name Cellulosimicrobium sp. CUA-896. Its description in RNAcentral is "Actinobacteria sRNA Ms_IGR-5". It matches the Rfam family "Actinobacteria sRNA Ms_IGR-5". The record is from Rfam by way of RNAcentral. Lineage: Bacteria; Bacillati; Actinomycetota; Actinomycetes; Micrococcales; Promicromonosporaceae.
ACACGAGAAAGGAGGUGAUCCGAGAAGUGAACUCUCUUCGGACCCGUGAGGUGGUCGCGCGCUAGUCGUCGCGCGACCGAUACGUCUCUGACGGACCGGACGCGGUGAGCCCGUGAACCGGGCGGCGCCUCCCGCGCGGGAGGCGGCCGACGGCGAGCGAGUACCACGCGACCACCGGGGCCCGCGGGAGUCGUGCCCUCGUCCAGCACGACAGGAGGAUCGCUCCUCCGGCCCGCGGGCUUCUCCGU